UACGUAGGUGGCAAGAGUUGUCCGGAAUUAUUGGGCGUAAACCGCGCGCAGGCGGUCCUUUAUGUCUGAUGUGAAAGCCCACGGCUCAACCGUGGAGGGUCAUUGGAAACUGGAGGACUUGAGUGCAGAAGAGGAAAGUGGAAUUCCAUGUGUAGCGGCGAAAGGCGUAGAGAUGUGGAGGAACACCAGUGGCGAAGGCGACUUUCUGGUCCGUAACUGACGCUGAGGCGCGAAAGCGUGGGGAGCAAACAGG
This 253-nucleotide unclassified non-coding RNA is filed under the name uncultured Caryophanaceae bacterium. Its description in RNAcentral is "uncultured Planococcaceae bacterium contains 16S-23S intergenic spacer region". It matches the Rfam family "Bacterial small subunit ribosomal RNA", at positions 524 to 776 of the family's 1533-position model. Lineage: Bacteria; Bacillati; Bacillota; Bacilli; Caryophanales; Caryophanaceae. The record is from RNAcentral.